Calidris pugnax (ruff) is the source of this 2189-nucleotide long non-coding RNA. RefSeq lists it as uncharacterized. Lineage: Eukaryota; Metazoa; Chordata; Aves; Charadriiformes; Scolopacidae. The record is from RefSeq and is a predicted model, not a curated record. The transcript has 3 exons.
AUAUAAUUUGUGCCACUUAAAGUAGAUCAUAUUUCCCUUUAGGGAAGGAUUAAUUUGGGUUUCUGUAAACAUGAGAGUCAAAUUCAGCUGUGCUGUGUACAAAUUAAACAUUUAGGGUGUUAUUGUUGUUGUUAGUCUGGUAUUAAUUUCUUUAAGUGUUCAAAAAUCUGUCCUCUUGAUGAGGUUAAGGGUGCUUAAUUGGUUAGCUGCAACAUUGGAAUUGGUGAUGUGGGCUGCAAAGUGAAAAGGUUGCUUCUCAAAGAUAAUUGCUUCUCAAAGAUAAUUGUUUCAAUUCUGAAGGAUUGACCCAUCUGAAAGGAAGAGUGGGUGUAAUACAACGUUACAGUUGGUAACUGUAAACAAGAGGGAUGGUGCACAGCGUGAUUUUGGGGCUUUUAGAUAGAUGGCUUUUAGGUUGAUGGCCGUGCUGUGGUUCUGGCAAAACCAGAUGGCUUUUGCAAACUGUAGAUCAGCAAUUGUGGGUAUUUUUUGUUUCUGUUCUGAGAAAUGCCUGCUUUCUUUGGGUUGAGGGAGAUCUCUUAAGACCCUGUUUAUGACUCUUAUCAAGGAAAUGACAUAAGAAAGGACAAUAAAGCUUAAGAACAGAAACUUGUAAAAGAAAACUGAAAAGGGUUUCAGCAUAGAGUGAAGAACAACAUGACCUGAGGGAAGAGGUUUUUAUUAAUGUCAUGGUAAGGAGUUUGUAUUCCAAAUAGGUUUGUUCUGUACCAAAUAAUUUGGAAAGAAGAGGUUUUGGUUCAGAUAAUGAGCUCAACCACUGUGUGAGCUGAAACUAUGAUAUUUAAUCCAUUAAGAUGCAGCAUCACAUGGUGGAGAAAAGUGGAACUGUGACUGCUUUGAGGCUAUUUCUGCAUUUUCAGCACAGCUGCUCUGAAGCAGUAAAAGAUCAGGUACUAAUUUGCCAGUGGUGUGCUGGAGUCUGUUGUCCAGCUUGUCAAUGGCCCAGUGGCAACUGAAAUGAUUGUGGCAGGUUCUUCUGUAAGAUACUAAUUUUUUUUGCUACUUUUCUUCAGCAACUGUGUUACUUCACAUACAAAGUCAUUCUGACCCUUGCCUCUCUGCGCUGCUUAAAGGUGAAUGGCAAACCAGUGAAGAAAAUAACAAAAGCUCAUGUGCCAAUUGCCACCAAUAAUGUCUCUCCUGAAUGACUCUGAGACCUGAGGAAAGGAUACUAGUAUAUAAAUCCCAAUUCAAAGUCCUUUUUUUUCCCCCUUUGAGCUUGCAAUUCACCUUCCAUAUUCUUUUCUUCGCUUCAUUUGCUUCAAGAAUCUUCAGAUUUCUUGAGUUAAAGAAUGAUCAUCUCUUGCCAACCCUUCUCAGCCGUAUCUGCAAAUAAGAAAAGAACACAGACAGCAUGUUAAUCCUGUGUCCUGAUAACAUAAGAAAAUAGAGAUGCAUAUCCUGUAUGUUUCUUGAUGACCUGAGGGGAGCAUAGGACUGAAGCUUACCUUCAGAACCCACCUCUAUGCGUGGAAGUAGGGCAACCUCUUUCCCUGCCUAUGGGCAUCAUCAAUUAGUUUUACAUAUCUUACUCAAAAACAUCACUUCUCUUUGUGACUUCACUUUGCCUUCUGUCUGACACUGAACUUGUCUCAUCUUCAGCUUAUUUUAACUUGGACAAAUCCAUUUAGUAUGCAUGCAAGCAGCCCUAUCAAACUUAAUUGGAAGGACAGCAGCAAUCUCUUCUGAUGUUACCUAAUGCUGACAUCUUAGCAAUGCUAUAUAUAAACUGCCUUACAUUGCAACACUGUCUGCAUUUUGAGUGUGUAAGAUGACAUGUCUUAGUGGACCAUUUGUAACUCUACCUCUUAUAUUCAUCUCUAAAACUGUAAUUUUUGCUCACUUCCAAGAUAAACUUCUUAUUUGAAAAAGUCUGCCUUUGCUUCCAUAAGAAAACCCCAAAACUUGAUCUUCUGCAGCUUUGCUGGGAUUGAGUUCCUAUGUUGCUGUUUUAAAACUUACCAUAUCACGAGAAAGGUUUUCUUCCUCCUUUAAUCCGAAAUGGCAGCACUGCUUUCUAUCAUUUAGCCUUGAGACUUUUCCUCUCACUUUUCUAGUUGAUAAAAAUGAAAGAUUUCUUCAACGGAUGACUGCAACAAAGUUUUUUCUAUCUAUUAACUGUGUGCAACCUGGACGUAAACCUGUGCACAUGUUCUCUAACAAAAUGC